CCUUCCGUAGGUGAACCUGCGGAGGGAUCAUUACACAAUAAAAUACGAAGGCCGUUCGCGGCUGGACUAUUUAUUACCCUUGUCUUUUGCGCACUUGUUGUUUCCUGGGCGGGUUCGCUCGCCACCAGGACCACAAUAUAAACCUUUUUUAUGCAGUUGCAAUCAGCGUCAGUAUAACAAAUGUAAAUCAUUUACAACUUUCAACAACGGAUCUCUUGGUUCUGGCAUCGAUGAAGAACGCAGCGAAAUGCGAUACGUAGUGUGAAUUGCAGAAUUCAGUGAAUCAUCGAAUCUUUGAACGCACAUUGCGCCCUUUGGUAUUCCAAAGGGCAUGCCUGUUCGAGCGUCAUUUGUACCCUCAAGCUUUGCUUGGUGUUGGGCGUUUUUGUCUUUGGCCCGCCAAAGACUCGCCUUAAAAUGAUUGGCAGCCGGCCUACUGGUUUCGCAGCGCAGCACAUUUUUGCGCUUGCAAUCAGCAAAAGAGGACGGCAAUCCAUCAAGACUCCUUCUCACGUUUGACCUCGGAUCAGGUAGGGAUACCCGCUGAACUUAAGCAUAUCAAUAAGCGGAGGAAA
This 575-nucleotide ribosomal RNA is filed under the name Curvularia australiensis. RNAcentral's name for it is "eukaryotic LSU rRNA". The stretch from base 196 to 349 matches the Rfam family "5.8S ribosomal RNA". Lineage: Eukaryota; Fungi; Ascomycota; Dothideomycetes; Pleosporales; Pleosporaceae. The record is from RNAcentral.